RNA transcript from Phyllostomus discolor (pale spear-nosed bat), 3484 nucleotides. It is a transcript of the gene named DDB1 and CUL4 associated factor 16, with no coding region annotated. The record is from RefSeq and is a predicted model, not a curated record. NCBI's taxonomy places the organism in Eukaryota, Metazoa, Chordata, Mammalia, Chiroptera, Phyllostomidae. The transcript has 4 exons.
GGGAAGAAAUAGAUCCACCCACCUCGAACGCAGCGCCUUGGGCGCAUGCGCUUAGCGUUUAGCCAGGCGUUUUCCGGUGAAAAGUGGUAUUUCCAAGAGGAGGGGGUCGUUCGCUUGCCCGGAAGUGGUCCCGCCGAGAAGGCGAACGGAGUGGCGGUGAGAUUGUCGGGACAGAGUGGCGUUAGGCCUACUCCGGUCGCGCAGCUAGGCGUGAGGCGAGAAGGGAAAAAGAUCCUCCACGGUUGGCCGUCUCACUACAAAUCAGAUGACUUCAUUCAGUUUUGUCAGUUACUGAAGGAUGAGGCAUUGGCCACCAGAGAUGGAAUUCGGUUGAAAUGAGAAUAGUAAAACUACAAGAGGACAGAAGAAUUAAAAGCCAACAGCUUCUCCUGUCUCAAUAAAAGAAAGAUCUAUGGUUAAGGCUCCCUUUCCAGAUAGUCCCAACAGCUAAGGCACCGGUUUCCGAGGGCACGUGCACCACCUGUGGAAAACACCGGAUCUGUGUGCACCAGAUGUUCUCGGCAACUCGUCCCACCGCCCGUCUGCACAUGAUCUGCCGCGCCAGCAGACUCUGAAGGCAGCCACUGAGUUUCUUCUUACUGCCAAGUAGAUACAAUACCCUGGCAACAAAACAGAGGACACGAGUGUCUCUUCACAGUAUCACGACAACUUGAAACCACACUAAGAAAAUCAGUUUGCCUAGAUGAGGACCCUUUCUCUUCUUGGGUAGCCAGGAUUUAAAGGAGAAACUCGGACCUGUGCCGCUGGUAAGUGACUAACACUUUUACACACCGAACUGCUCCUGAGAACUGAGAUGCCUUCUUUGUAAGGGAAGAAAACACAACAUGAUCUCGAAGAACUGCACAGUGGGACAAGCCAGAGGCAUACUGUGCGUGUAACGGACUCAAAAACAGGCAAGUUGAUCUUGUUGAAAGGAUUUUUCAUCUUUUGUUUAUGUUCACCAGUGUUAGUCAUUGUUUUGCUGGCUUAAAUUGUUAACCUUUCUCUGGUUCCUUCUCCUGUUCUGUUCUAAUGGGUCCCAGAAAUCCCUCUCCUGACCCCUUGUCAGAAUCGGAAAGUGAAGAAGAAGAAAAUGCUAACUACCUAAAUGAUAGUUCUGGGGAAGAGUGGGAUUCCUCCGAAGAAGAGGAUCCUGUGGUGCCCAACCUGACACCUCUUGAGAGUCUUGCCUGGCAGGUUAAGUGCCUUUUAAAAUAUUCAACAACUUGGAAACCUUUAAAUCCCAAUUCCUGGUUAUAUCAUGCUAAACUCUUAGAUCCAAGCACACCGGUCCAUAUACUUCGGGAGAUAGGUCUGAGGCUCUCCCAUUGCUCCCACUGUGUGCCCAAACUGGAACCGAUUCCUGAAUGGCCACCCCUGGCUUCUUGUGGAGUCCCACCUUUUCAGAAGCCCCUGACAAGUCCCAGCCGGCUUUCCAGAGACCAUGCCACCCUGAACGGAGCGCUGCAGUUUGCCACCAAGCAGUUAAGCCGAACCUUGAGUAGAGCCACUCCCAUAACUGAAUACCUAAAACAGAUCCCUAAUUCGUGUGUCUCUGGUUGUUGCUGUGGCUGGUUAACCAAAACGGUUAAGGAAACAACCCGCACUGAACCAAUCAACACUACUUACUCUUACACUGACUUUCAAAAGGCAGUUAACAAACUCUUAACUGCAUCACUAUAAAACCCACCAUUUGUUCUGAUAUCUCGUAUUGCUAGUUGAGAAAGCAGUACAAAGCUACACAGCCCAGAGCUGCGAGAGGAAUGCCGCCUCCACCAAACUGCCCUGGCGGGCCAGUAUACCAAGUACUGGAUAUAUGCCCAAGAGGCCCGUAGCUCAGCUGCAGAAAACGUGCAUCACGGCUUUCCCUUUGAUAGAUCCUGUGGAUAAAAUGAGAACUUUAAUGGAGAAUUAGUCAAAAGGUACCAUAUUGCAAAAGAUACAUUAUUCUCUACAUUCUGUUCUCCACCCCCUCUCAAUUUACUCCACCUACCUGAAUGGAUUCCAGCUAGAUACCUAAUUAUCAACGGGAAGGAAAAGGUAGGCUCCUACCCCUUUUGUUGCCCAUCCUUCACAACAGCUACAGCAGAAAGUGUAGUCAGCUACUCCCAACCACACCUGCCUGGGCAUAGUCUUCUCGGGCAUGCGUUUUUAGGGAGGUAGUGGGAUUAAAUUAAUUAACUAGGCAAAAGAAAAUGGUGGGAAUAGGAUGCGUCUCCUAGCUUUUCUAUGGAUAGGUCUAUUGUGGCACACUUUAGGGGUUCCUAUUUUGGGGGAGAGAGUGCAGUUUCAAACCUAUAGUCUAAUGCUCCAGACCUAUUACAGUACCUGUGAUUACAGCAUAAACAUUUUGUAAGUUCCCAUCAGGCUCUCUGUAAUUAAGCUGACCUGUACGAUGGUACCUGGGGAUUAAACAGACACCUUUUCCAUAGGGAAUAUAUUUCCUGCAUCUUAGCACUCAGACUUUAGUCGAGAGGAAAUAAAACACAUUCCAAAAGACCAAAGGGAAAGGAUGAUUAAGAGAGCAUUUAUAUUUUCAAUGCUAACUGCUAAAGGAUUCAAGUCUUCCCGGCUGUUUCCUAGAGCAGCACUUCAUGCACUUUCCCCAUCCACUGCAGACUUUCCGGGAUCGCGUCUAACUUUCAGGAACCUGACUACAGAAAACCUCAGCCUAAUACAACCUGAAGUCAGUUUUUAGUAUCACUUUUUUUCUACAUAGCUUAGCUAUAUCUGAACAAGUGUACGUACUGUUGUAAAUGAACCUUGCAGUGUUUAGUUGAGUCAAAAUGUAGAAGUCGACAUAAAAUGCAUGGGACCAUUAGAUCUUCUCACACACCUUCAAUAAAGAGUGAAACCUGUGUAUGAUCCUGGUUAACAGGGCAUCUAAAGGGUGCAGAAAGUAUUGUUAAAGAUAUAUUAUACACCCCCUUUAGUUUUGCUUUUUUCCUCUUCUCCAUUACUAAGUGCUAUGUACAAUGUGGCAUCAAAAAUUAAAGCAUUAAUAGAAUCACAAAUUUUUAAAUGUGUAGCAACUUUAGGAAGAGAGAAGAAUGUUUAUAACCUAAUGAGUAUUUCUGCUGAGCCUUAGUUUUCUUAAGGGAAAAACAAGGAGGGGGUUGUAGUAGGUAGAAAAAAUAUGUUAGUGGAGAGUUACUGAACUGAAACGUAUUAUACUGUUAGUAUAACUGAAUGUGUCAGAAACUGUUUCUAUGUAGCUGUUUUCUGUGAAACUGGUUUUUAAAAUGUUACACCUGUUUCUUUAAGGGGGAGGUGGGAAAGAUAAGGAGGUCUAAAAAAUUAAAGUAUGUCGAUGUUUAUGUAACCAUAAUAUGUUCUUUUUUCUGUGUAUGUGUGCACGAGUGUGUGCACGCAUUUAUGUGUGUAAAAAUGCUUUCCUCAUAAACGCAUUUUUCCUAUUUACUGCUAAAGGAAGCCUUUCCCCAGCUUUGCAGCUGAAUAAACCAACAGCUUUGUACAUGCUGAA